AUGACACCAGGACCCCCAAAAACUGGGACCCCCAAAGUGGGACCACCAAAGCGGGACUUCCAAACUGGGAUCCCCCCCAAAUUUGGGACAAUGACACCAGGACCCCCAAAGCGGGACCCCAACCUGGGACCCCCAACCUGGGACCCCCGAUGGCGGCGGCCGCCCUCGUGCCAUUGGCUGCUCACCCUGUGGGUCUCGGAAGGUGACGACGGCGGCCCCAUCGCGGCGCAGCCUCACGGCGCCCACUUUGCCGCCGGCGCUGCGGCGGUUCUCGAAGUAGAGCUCCAGGAGGUCGCGCGGCGCCGCCGGCGGCAGCACCAAAACGGCGCCGGACUGCGGCAGGCGCUGCAGCACCGCGGCUCCCGGCAGCGCCGAGCGCAGCUGCUGCAGCUCUGCGGGAAACGGGGGCACGGAUGGAGAUGGGGCUACCAGCCCAGCUGUGGGGCUACCAGCCCAGCUGUGGGGCAACCAACACAGCUAUGGGGCAACCAACUCAUCUAUGGGGCACAGAGACCAUCUAUGGGGCACCCAACCCAUCUAUGGGGCUAUCAACCCACCUAUGGGCAACUAGCCCAGCUAUGGGGCAACCAGCCCAGCUAUGGGGCACCCAAUCCAUCAAUGGGGCAACCAACCAUCUAUGGGGCAACCAAUCCAUCUAUGGGGCAACCAGCCCAGCUAUGGGGCACCCAACCCAGCUAUGGGGCACCCAGUGCUGAUAUAUGGGGCAACCAACCCAUCUAUGGGGCACACAGCCCAUCUAUGGGGAUCUGUGCCCCAAUUCAUCUAUGGGGCAACCAACGCAGCUAUCGGGCAACUAACCCAUCUAUGGGGCACAGAGACCAUUUAUGGGGCACCCAACCCAUCUAUGGGGCACCCAACCCAUCUAUGGGGCUACCAACCCAGCUGUGGGACAACCAAUUCAUCUAUGGGGCAAGCAACCCAGCUAUGGGGCAAGCAACCCAGCUAUGGGGCACCCAAUCCAUCAAUGGGGCAACCAACCAUCUAUGGGGCAACCAAUCCAUCAAUGGGGUAACCAAUCCAUUUAUGGGGCACAGAGACCAUCUAUGGGGCAACCAAACCAGCUAUGGGGCAACCAGCCCAGCUGUGGGGCAACCAAUCCAUCUAUGGUGCAACCAGCCCAGUUAUGGGGCAACCAACCAAGCUGUGGGGCAAACAGCCCAUCUAUGGGGCACACAGACCAUCUAUGGGGCAACCAGCCCACUAUGGGGCACCCAGUGCCGAUCUAUGGGGCGCCCAAAGUCCUCUCUGUGGAAACCAACUCCACCUAUGGGGCGCACAGCCACAUCUAUGGGGCACCCAAUGGUGACCCAUGAGGACCCCAAAUACUGAGCGCCCAUCCUGACCCACGGGAACACGGCAUGGACCCCAAGCCCCGACCCAUAGGGACCCCACCCCAUAGGGACCCCAAACCCCGACCCAUAGGGGCCUCAUGAGGAGUCAGGAGCCGGACCCACAGAGACCCCAGA
RNAcentral lists this long non-coding RNA (1487 nucleotides) under Phasianus colchicus (ring-necked pheasant). RNAcentral's name for it is "lncRNA (ENSPCLG00000014115.1)". The record is from RNAcentral. Lineage: Eukaryota; Metazoa; Chordata; Aves; Galliformes; Phasianidae.